AAAGUCGUAACAAGGUUUCCGUAGGUGAACCUGCGGAAGGAUCAUUAACACGUAUCCAUACGUAUUAUAUACCAAACCGUGAACUCGUUUGUAAUAAAGAAGAAGGUGUGUAGUUUUGGAACCAGUAAUGGUUUUUUAAAACGAUAGCCUUUGUACCUUAUUCAACCUUAUAAACCACUUGUAACCAUAUUGUACUAAACCUAAGAAAAUGUGAAGGCCUACUGGGCAAUCAUAUUUUUUGUAUUUACGAAACGUAAAAACAAUUCUUAGCAACGGAUAUCUUGGUUCUC
Molecule: unclassified non-coding RNA, 290 nt
Filed under: Ascomycota sp.
Lineage: Eukaryota; Fungi; Ascomycota
Description: partial contains small subunit ribosomal RNA, internal transcribed spacer 1, and 5.8S ribosomal RNA
Rfam family: Eukaryotic small subunit ribosomal RNA (bases 1-47)
Source: RNAcentral